Molecule: ribosomal RNA, 253 nt
Filed under: uncultured bacterium
Lineage: Bacteria
Description: partial 16S ribosomal RNA
Rfam family: Bacterial small subunit ribosomal RNA
Source: RNAcentral
UAUGAAGGGGGCUAGCGUUGCUCGGAAUCGCUGGGCGUAAAGGGUGCGUAGGCGGGUCUUUAAGUCAGGGGUGAAAUCCUGGAGCUCAACUCCAGAACUGCCUUUGAUACUGAGGAUCUUGAGUUCGGGAGAGGUGAGUGGAACUGCGAGUGUAGAGGUGAAAUUCGUAGAUAUUCGCAAGAACACCAGUGGCGAAGGCGGCUCACUGGCCCGAUACUGACGCUGAGGCACGAAAGCGUGGGGAGCAAGCAGG